AGUGGUGGUCAGUAUUAUUGGGCCUAAAGCGUCCGUAGCUGGCCUGGUAGAUGCCUGGGUAAAUCGAAUCGCUCAACGGUUCGAAUUCCGGGUAGACCGCCAGGCUCGAGACCGGGAGAGAUGUGGGCUACUCGAGGGGUAGGGGUAAAAUCCUGUAAUCCUUCGGGGAGGACCAGUGGCGAAGGCGCCACAUUUGAACGGCUCUGACAGUGAGGGACGAAGCCCUGGGGCGCAAACCGG
RNAcentral lists this ribosomal RNA (240 nucleotides) under uncultured bacterium. RNAcentral's name for it is "partial 16S ribosomal RNA". It matches the Rfam family "Archaeal small subunit ribosomal RNA", at positions 487 to 727 of the family's 1478-position model. The record is from RNAcentral.